GGCUGGAUGCUGUUGUGCUGGCCCUUUGGGGCAAUGUGCACACCCUCUGGUCAUUUGUUUCUUCUGUCCCACAUGUGCACUGCCUGUAGACACUGCUGUGUCUAUGAUAAUGUUACACACACACAUGGAUGUAUGCAUAAUAUAUAUAUGUUGGUUGGCAUUUUAUGUAAAUACAACUUUCAACAAUGGAUCUCUUGGCUCUCGCAUCGAUGAAGAACACAGCGAAAUGUGAUAAGUAAUGUGAAUUGCAGAAUCCAGUGAAUCAUCGAAUCUUUGAACGCAUCUUGCGCUCCUUGGCAUUCCGAGGAGCAUGCCUGUUUGAGUGUCGUUAAACUAUCAAAACACUUUUUUUCUUGGGUGUUUUGGACUCUGGGAGUGUUUUUGCUGGUCUGUUUGAGCCGGCUCUCCUCAAAAGCAUUAGCUUUGGAGACUGUCAGUGUGAUAAUUUUGCUUGACACUGACUCGAGCGUCUCUGCUUCUCCUUUGACCUCAAAUCAGGUAGGACUACCCGCUGAACUUAAGCAUAC
RNAcentral lists this ribosomal RNA (527 nucleotides) under Amanita constricta. RNAcentral's name for it is "eukaryotic LSU rRNA". The stretch from base 175 to 328 matches the Rfam family "5.8S ribosomal RNA". The record is from RNAcentral. Lineage: Eukaryota; Fungi; Basidiomycota; Agaricomycetes; Agaricales; Amanitaceae.